This 435-nucleotide ribosomal RNA is filed under the name uncultured bacterium. Its description in RNAcentral is "bacterial SSU rRNA". It matches the Rfam family "Bacterial small subunit ribosomal RNA", at positions 355 to 796 of the family's 1533-position model. The record is from RNAcentral.
UCGAGGAUCUUCGGCAAUGGGCGCAAGCCUGACCGAGCGACGCCGCGUGUGCGACGAAGGCCUUCGGGUUGUAAAGCACUGUCGAGGGGGAGGAAAGCCCGCAAGGGUCUGACCUAUCCCUGGAGGAAGCACGGGCUAAGUUCGUGCCAGCAGCCGCGGUAAGACGAACCGUGCGAACGUUGUUCGGAUUCACUGGGCUUAAAGGGCGCGUAGGCGGGUGGUCAAGUCGGGGGUGAAAUCUUUCAGCUCAACUGGAAAAUAGCUUUCGAUACUGGCCAUCUCGAGGGGGGUAGGGGCAUGUGGAACUUCCGGUGGAGCGGUGAAAUGCGUAGAUAUCGGAAGGAACGCCGGUGGCGAAAGCGACGUGCUGGACCCUCACUGACGCUGAGGCGCGAAAGCCAGGGGAGCAAACGGGAUUAGAUACCCCGGUAGUCC